RNAcentral lists this ribosomal RNA (116 nucleotides) under Escherichia coli. Lineage: Bacteria; Pseudomonadati; Pseudomonadota; Gammaproteobacteria; Enterobacterales; Enterobacteriaceae. RNAcentral also lists the same sequence under 41 other names. The record is from RNAcentral.
CUUGGCGGCCGUAGCGCGGUGGUCCCACCUGACCCCAUGCCGAACUCAGAAGUGAAACGCCGUAGCGCCGAUGGUAGUGUGGGGUCUCCCCAUGCGAGAGUAGGGAACUGCCAGGC